Molecule: non-coding RNA, 148 nt
Filed under: Chlorocebus sabaeus (green monkey)
Lineage: Eukaryota; Metazoa; Chordata; Mammalia; Primates; Cercopithecidae
Source: Rfam by way of RNAcentral
GCCGGGCGUAGUGGCGGGCGCCUGUAAUCCCAGCUACUUGGGAGGCUGAGGCAGGAGAAUCGCUUGAACCCAGGAGGUGGAGGUUGCAGUGAGCCGAGAUCACACCACUGCACUCCAGCCUGGGCGACAACGCGAGACUCUGUCUCAA